UGCAGCCCCUGCCCUGAUGGCACACCUUCCCACAGGUCUCAGUGGACUUGCCCUCUGCAGAGCAGCCCACCCGACUCCCCAGACUUCAGAAGUAGCAGCAGAGAAAAAUCCUUAAAAAUGGUUAUGGUAAAUCAGUGGCCCAGAACCUAGAGAGACAUGAGAAUGUGGAUGGGAGGGUCUGAGAGGAGGUGGGAUUUGAUGGAAUGUCCUAGCAAGUAAGACCUGGCACCCUAGAGCUAAAUCAAUGAGUAAAAGAGAAGAUGAAUUAAUACAGAAAUGAAAAAAUAUAUAUUAUUAUGGUAGAAAUUGAAGGGACACAGAGGCAGAAGGAAACAACGGGCUCCUCUCCCUGCAUCCCUGCUCAGGAGCCUAUGGCCUGCCAUAAGAGAACAAACAGCAGGGCUCAAAAACCAGCCCUGCCACUUACUAGCUUCGUGACCUGGUGUAAAGUACUAAUCCUCUGUAAGCCCCAGCUUCCUCAUCUCUACAAUGGAGUAAUUCUAUUAACCUCCAUCAGAGGUUGUAAUGAAGAUUAAAUCAGAUAAUGUUUAUGAUAUAUCUGACACAGUGCUGUGUACAUAAUAAACAUGCAGUAAAUGUUAGCUGAAAAUGCAUUUCUAGUUCAUGUUGAGGAAUAAAAAAGGGGCUUUUGUCAGGCUCCAUAAAGCAUGUGGCCGGGACUAGGACAUUGGGCUAGUCUGAUAUGAAGCCAUUCUCUGACCCAGGGCAUUUUAAUUCAGUGCUGAAUGUAGCAAAACAAAGCCAAACCAGCAAUGCUACCACCAUUUGAAUCCAUUGUUUAGCUGAGAAAUGACAGCAAUUGUAAGUUUUGGGUUGAGGGCAGCAAGAUUUUGAUAUUUCUUUGUUAAUGGCAUCGUUUUAGCAUUUUACCUUCAGAAAGAAAGCAAAAAAUCGUGUGAGGCUGCUGCAUGAAAGAGCUAAGGAGGACCCAGCCCCACAGCAAGAGAAGCAUCACUUAAUGGAGCCUGCACUUCUCAAGCCUCCCGAAGUCGCCAAGAAAUUCUUCUCAAGUGAACAGCAACAGAGUAUUUGCCUGCUAACCCAACCACUAGGUUGCAUUUGGAAGUAAAAUAUUAUCCAGUAGGAUUAAUUAUUAUAUCACACUGGACCAGAUGCCUCUACCAUGCAUCAGUUUUCUUGGUUGGUCACAUAUUAACAAUCACUGUCUUGACAUUCUAAACAUGCUGUCUGAUUAGUAGUUCCUGGCAGCAGUGGCUGAUAGCAGUUACUGGAAUCUCUGCUUACUGGGGGAUUUCGUAAUCUACACCUAGCUGCAUGGCUCGUCACGAUAUCUCAUGAUAUUUGGCCUAAAGAGUGUUAUAUUCAGACCGAUCUCCUUCUCAUUUGUUCAACGUGUACUGCUUUUUCUACCUUUGUACCUUUGCUGUCUUUCCUCCACCCAAAACGGCCUUUCCUCCUCUCCACUGGUUCAAAUUCUAGAAUUCUUUAAGAUUCAAAUCAAAUGCUCCUUUUGUAUGUCAUCAACCUGAAUUAAAAACAGUGUUCUUCUGAAUUCCCACUGUACUUCAACUUUCUGCACAGUACUUUUUGCUUUCUCUCCUGUAUUUUCCUUUUCAACACUAUGUCUUACACAUGAUUGGCACUAAAUAAGAGUUUGUUGAAAGCAUGAACCAGUGACCCACUACAACUAAGGCUACUAUAAAUUAUUGAAUAAUGUAAACAUAAAUAUCAUCUUAGUGAAAAGAAAACACUUUACUCCCUAUGAGGAAAUCCUGCUUUUUAACCAACAGCUAAGUCCACUUCCUGCUCAUGUGCCUCCUGAAGGGCUUGAGAGUCUCCAAGCAGAAUGGAUUCUAGAAUUUCAUCUCUGGCUUAUCACCAAAAUAGCUUGGCCUUGCUCUCACUUCUUGGAUAUUGAAACUGCCCUAAGUAGUGACAGGAGAAUUCAGAAUUAUGGAAUCGUGUAAAUGACAAAUUUAAGUUGGUGCUUUGGACUGCAAAACUAGCAAAGAAACUGUCUACUUGUCCCCUUUAUUGAUUUACUCAUUCCCAGAAGUGAGAGUCCUAGAGGGGCUAGAGAUGACCUAGAGCUGGGUCAGCAUAGAAACUGGGAGGAUAAUAAAGGAUAUUCAUAUGAACUCAGUAUGAGAUGAUAUUAAGGAAUUAUUUUUCAAUUCUGUCUGAUUGAGUAAUGGCAUGUUUAUUAUGAAAUAUAAAAGCCUUUUCAGUCAGAGAUGCAUGCUGCAAAAUGACAUGAUUUCUGGGAUUUGCUCUGAAAUGCUCAUGAGAAAAGAGGAAUGGAGAACAAUAACAAGAUUGGGAAAAUGUUGAUAAUUUUUUAAUUGAGUGAUUAGUAUAUAGAAGCUCAUUAUACUAGUCUCUGUAUUUUUGUGUGCUAAAACAUUUCUACACUAAAAGUUCUAAAAGAAAAUAGUCUUUAAAGGCAAUAGUUAUCCCCAUGUAGCUGAUCUCCAAACAAGAUGUUUGCCUGAAAUGACAAAAAAGGGGAGAAAGGGAAUUUUAUUAUCUAGAUCACCAGUCCAUGCCAUUUGAUUUAAUCCAGGCUACCCAGAUCACUGCUGUGUUAUAUCUCUGGUAAGUAACUCAGAAAGCUAUAUAUGUGCAGCAUAACCUAAAAAAGAUAUCUAUAGUUUUAACCUCAAACACAUUAAAGUUAUUUACAUUGUGUCCUUGAUCAAGACUUCAGACUUAUUUCAGUAGACAAUUUCUUUGGUGUGUGUUUGUUGUUCCUUGAACUCAUAGUUAUGUUUUUCAAAAAAUCAGCUAUACUGAAAAAAGGAGGGAGGAGAAGGAGGGAAAGGAGGAUCAGAAGUAGUCUAUAGGUUAAUAAAUUUCCUGGCAGGAUAUCCUAGUAAUAAUCUAGGUAAGCACUUAAUUUUCCAGCAUAUCUGGCUCUAAUUUAAAUUUAGCAGUGAACCACUUAUAAAAUACAGUGUCUUUUUCAUAAGUUAAUUAAUAACCCUCCACCUUUUGUGGAGGCAAAAGAUCAGAGAAAUUCAGAAUUUUUCUCCUUAGCUUUAAUCAAAAUAGUCCCAAAUUUCUUUUCAUUGAGUAAUCUACAGCAGCAAAAGAUUUGUCAUGUUAAAUGUUGCUUGUUGCCUUUUGCAAAUAUAAACAAGGACUGAAAUCCUCGGAAACUUGAGGGACGUUUAUUUUAUUUCCAUUUUUUCCUAUUUAUUUUUACUUUCUAUUAUAUAAAAACUGUACGUUUUUGGUCCCAACUUCACCAAGUAUCAAAUGGUAAGAGAGUGGAAGUAAGUUUAUUAAUUUGCUUAAUGGAACUGGUUUGGCAACUUCAGAAAAAGGAAUAUUGCAGUUAUAUAUUUUAAAAACCUUAGUAGGGCCUUUUAUUGUCUGCUACUUGCAUAGAAAGAAUUUUACAGAGUUUGGUAGCUUAAUAGUGCUUCAGCAGAUCAAGGCUUUAAAAAGUAGAAUUAACUAAGCUAAGUUUGAAGAAGCUAACAAAAACCUUGAAACUGGCAGCAGCCUACAUUUUCACAUUCCUCUGUACAUUAGGCUAUUGUAGACAUCCAAAUCCAUCAGAAAAGAUCUACUAAUUCAGCAUUUCCUAAAUAUAUUUAUAGAACUGAGAUAUUUUUAAUGUUUACCUGAAAAAAAGGACUUCAUGGUUAAAGAAGUUAGAGAAAUCUGGGUCAAAGUUCAAGUAUCUCUAUACUUCAGGACUUCCUAGACUAUUAAAUAUGGUAAUAAGUAUUAUGAAUGUUCAAGAAGAGAAAUGUCGUAAGACCAGUGUAAUAUCAAAAAUCAUCUUGUAGAACUAGUAUUUACAAAAUAUAUUGAUGAUUAUGAUCUGAAAAUACACCCAGGUACACACACACAGAUAUGAACAUUCUAGAAGAUACAAGUGAGCCAUUUUUUCCUCUGGUAUGAAUAAGUACAGAGGCAACUAAAAUUGUGUUCCAGCAAGGCAAGGAAUAUCUCCCAUUCAUUCAAGGAAACAAGAGAGACCCAUUUUUCCAGCAGUCCUUCAGACUGUGGAUUCUGAACGGCAACUUCCUUCCUGCUCUAAAAACAGCAAAUACAGGAACAAGGAAACUGAUUAAAGAAGGAGAUGUCCUCCUUGUUGCUUUUAGGCAAUGAACAUUCAACACUGUGGCAAAGAAGCAGGCUUCCUAUAAUCCCUAGGAAACUUACUAAGAUGUGGCUUCGACAUUCUGUAAAACCUGGAAGGACUCAUUUUGCCUCUUUUCUCCAUGCAUCACAAUCCAGCCUCUACUUGGAUCAUUCCAGAAUAGUCUGGGUACCAGUCUCAACUCAACUUAUACUAUUGCUGAAACAAAGUCUGGGAGGGAAUUAUGUGCCAGUGGUUGCCCAGCCAGCUAUAGCAGCUACUGGAACAAGAUCUGAGAGUCACAUCUGAGCUCAUGAAGCCCAGAUUUUCUGAAGCAGUUCCUCAAUAAAAUUUCAAAGAAGUCUGGCAAGGAACUUCCCAUGAAAGAGGCCAGAAGAGAUAGGAAGAACAGAAGUGAUAUUUGGACAAUCAGUUCUUGACUUAGGGUCUGAAAACGGACAGAAACCCCCAGGACUCUGUGAAGCUCCUAGUGAACCUGUGCAGACAGUGCAAGAGUGAUGCACAGCCUAUGGUGACAGCUGAUAAAACUGGAUAAAAUUAAGUUUUAUUUUUACUUCAGAGUGUUUCGCCUUCACCUCUCUUUUCCACAUAGGUCACUUACAGUAAAAUAAAAGUCAUAUAAUGUAAAUAAAAUAAAUAAAAGUGUUCUUAUUAAAAGAAUGAACACUGGGUUUCCAAUGCUAAGGAAAUCAGCCCUUCCAUGUUAAAACAGCCUUAUAUAUUGGCACCUACUGGUAGUAAGAGAAAGAAAAUUUUGGCAAAAUGCUAGAUUAUUUUGUUUGACUGUUUAUAUAACAAGUCCCCUUUCAAACGUAUGUUAUCUUCAUCCCUUUCAAAAAGCGUUUUUGAAGUUUGCUAGCUUAUAUCCACAGGUCCACUUCCCAGCCUCUUUCACGAUGAGUACCACCAGCUCUUAGGUCUUCUUCCUAUUUAAGUGUCACAGACAGGAUCCUCCACAGACUUCAAAGCCAUUUCCAGAGAGUCCUAGGUCAUAACUUAUACAUAAAUAAAAUAUUUAAUUCUGAUGCACAUGCUUUUUGAUGGCAAGAAUUUGUGAAAAAUAAGUAAAGGAAUAAAUUUCACAUUUGGCUUCCAUAGUGCAGGACUGAAACACCAGCUACAGGAUAGCAAGA
Long non-coding RNA from Manis pentadactyla (Chinese pangolin), 5229 nucleotides. RefSeq lists it as uncharacterized. NCBI's taxonomy places the organism in Eukaryota, Metazoa, Chordata, Mammalia, Pholidota, Manidae. The record is from RefSeq and is a predicted model, not a curated record. The transcript has 3 exons.